UACGAAGGGGGCUAGCGUUGUUCGGAAUUACUGGGCGUAAAGCGCACGUAGGCGGAUAUUUAAGUCAGGGGUGAAAUCUCAGAGCUCAACUCUGGAACUGCCUUUGAUACUGGGUAUCUUGAGUAUUGAAGAGGUGAGUGGAAUUCCGAGUGUAGAGGUGAAAUUCGUAGAUAUUCGGAGGAACACCGGUGGCGAAGGCGG
This 201-nucleotide ribosomal RNA is filed under the name uncultured bacterium. RNAcentral's name for it is "partial 16S ribosomal RNA". It matches the Rfam family "Bacterial small subunit ribosomal RNA", at positions 524 to 724 of the family's 1533-position model. The record is from RNAcentral.